This 484-nucleotide ribosomal RNA is filed under the name uncultured bacterium. RNAcentral's name for it is "partial 16S ribosomal RNA". It matches the Rfam family "Bacterial small subunit ribosomal RNA", at positions 30 to 507 of the family's 1533-position model. The record is from RNAcentral.
AUUGAACGCUGGCGGCAGGCCUAACACAUGCAAGUCGAGCGGAUGAAGGGAGCUUGCUCCUGGAUUCAGCGGCGGACGGGUGAGUAAUGCCUAGGAAUCUGCCUGGUAGUGGGGGAUAACGUCCGGAAACGGGCGCUAAUACCGCAUACGUCCUGAGGGCGAGAGUGGGGGAUCUUCGGACCUCACGCCAUCAGAUGAGCCUAGGUCGGAUUAGCUAGUUGGUGGGGUAAAGGCCUACCAAGGCGACGAUCCGUAACUGGUCUGAGAGGAUGAUCAGUCACACUGGAACUGAGACACGGUCCAGACUCCUACGGGAGGCAGCAGUGGGGAAUAUUGGACAAUGGGCGAAAGCCUGAUCCAGCCAUGCCGCGUGUGUGAAGAAGGUCUUCGGAUUGUAAAGCACUUUAAGUUGGGAGGAAGGGCAGUAAGUUAAUACCUUGCUGUUUUGACGUUACCAACAGAAUAAGCACCGGCUAACUUCGUG